This is a microRNA precursor of Cercocebus atys (sooty mangabey), 93 nucleotides long. The record is from Ensembl. NCBI's taxonomy places the organism in Eukaryota, Metazoa, Chordata, Mammalia, Primates, Cercopithecidae.
AGAGGAGCUGGACAAGUACUGGUCUCAGCAGAUUGAGGAGAGCACCACAGUGGUCACCACACAGUCUACCGAGGUUGGAGCUGCUAAGACGAC